Molecule: ribosomal RNA, 467 nt
Filed under: uncultured bacterium
Lineage: Bacteria
Description: partial 16S ribosomal RNA
Rfam family: Bacterial small subunit ribosomal RNA
Source: RNAcentral
GACGAACGCUGGCGGCGUGCUUAACACAUGCAAGUCGAACGGAAAGGCCCUGCUUUUGUGGGGUGCUCGAGUGGCGAACGGGUGAGUAACACGUGAGUAACCUGCCCUUGACUUUGGGAUAACUUCAGGAAACUGGGGCUAAUACCGGAUAGGAGCUCCUGCUGCAUGGUGGGGGUUGGAAAGUUUCGGCGGUUGGGGAUGGACUCGCGGCUUAUCAGCUUGUUGGUGGGGUAGUGGCUUACCAAGGCUUUGAGGGGUAGCCGGCCGGAGGGGGUGACCGGCCCCAUGGGGCCAGGGGUGGCGACCGGAGUGCAACGGGAGGAAGGGGGGGGGGAUAUGCCGCACGGGGCGGAGGCCGUGAGCAAGAACGCCGGGUGGGAGAAGGCGGCUUUGGGGUUGGAACCCGUUUUGACGUAGGAAGGCGCGUCGGUAGGGUAAAUGGGUAAAAAACCACCGCUAACUACGGU